AUCCAGAUGACGAGUCCCAAACAGCACGAAAUGAGCAUCCUGGAU
Molecule: non-coding RNA, 45 nt
Organism: Trichobilharzia regenti
Lineage: Eukaryota; Metazoa; Platyhelminthes; Trematoda; Strigeidida; Schistosomatidae
Source: Rfam